RNAcentral lists this unclassified non-coding RNA (1345 nucleotides) under Hevea brasiliensis (rubber tree). Lineage: Eukaryota; Viridiplantae; Streptophyta; Magnoliopsida; Malpighiales; Euphorbiaceae. The record is from RNAcentral.
GUGUGGUGGUGUAGGGAGUACAUGAGCAAAAUUGGUUUGGGACUUAGAUUAGUUGUAAGUUUAAUGAUUGGUUGUGAAGUUAAACUUUGAGAACAAGACGAUGGAGGAUUAUAGCAACUACAGGUAGUUAUAUGGUUUUGUUUCUUGAUGCUAUGGGAAGCAGAUCUUGUUAGGUAAUGUUUCAUGAAUCAAAAAGGCUCACACAAUGCUAUCUUGAUAAAAUUCUCAUAAAUAGGCAUAUAUACUUUGUUGCAUUUCUGGAAGAACGUAGUCAAAAUUCUUUGGGAUUGGAAAUGGCAUUUAUUAGAAUAAAAUUAAGGCAUGUGUAUUCUAAUUUUGUACCAAUGCGUGUAAUUUACUUGUUUACUUGGCUAAUAGAAAGUUGUUUGAGAUGAAAUUAGGUCUGCAAUAUACUUGAGAUUGAUUAAUUGAAAUUUUGAGCAGGUUGCUCUGAAUCACGUGUGCUAUUUUCUUUAAACAUUAUGUUCCGAUCAGGUGUUACAUUUUCUUUAGUCAGUUGGUUCGUCAAAAUUCCUGUAGAAUGAUUUCCAUUUCUCAAUUUGGAGCACAAUGCCAUGAAUAAUGGAUCAAGUCUAUAGAGAUUGAAUUUUAACAGACAGUUAUGAUUAUGAAAGUUAAAGGUAUUCUGCCAGAAAUGAGAUGAAUAGAGGGGCAAAAUAUUAGGAGUCUUGCCUGUUUAUGUUUUAUUCUUGAUUGGAGGUUAUAGUUGUACUUGAGCACUUAGUCCUGCUUCUGAUGUUUGGAGUUGUGUACGAGUUUGAUAUAAUUGUUGUUCUUCAGAAUAGGUAGCACCAUUUGAUUACAAUAAAUUUUUUUAGGUGAUGUGAUGCGAUGCUACCACAUCAUUUGGCUUUCCAAAUCAACUACCAAAACUUGUUUGAAAUGUGAUUUGGAAACAGAAAUUCGGUUGUAAUAAUGAUGCUGUCAGUAAGUCGGUUCAAUUAUCGUUGUAGCUUUAGUAAUAUUUUUUGCUUGAAGUCUAUGAAAUUGGGUUUUAAGUAACUCAAUUCUUACACAUCCUAAACAUUGAGAAGUGCUUAAUGAGGUUAUCGCACACCACUUCAGUUAGCCUAUUAUUAUAUUUAGAUGUAUGAGCUCCAGUGCAAUUUUGUUGAUUGCGCAAAUAGUACAUGUGAAAAGCAAUUUGACUGAUGCCCGCUUUUAACAUAACAGACAUGUGCCAAGUAAUAAAAAAGAAUUGGAUAAUUUGGCUAGUGUAAUCAGAAUUGUAAAACCUGGCUAAAAGCCAAGGAAAAUGUAGCAAGACUGAUUUCUUAUUUGAGAAUCUUAUCUGAUGUCAGGUUAAGGAUGGUGAUGACUCUGA